CCACAUCGACAGGGGAGCGCCCGCGCGGCGCUGAGAGUGCGGUCCGCCGCAGACCCUCGAACCUGCUCCGGUCCGCACCGGCGAAGGAAGUCGAGUCUCCCGGUCG
This 106-nucleotide non-coding RNA is filed under the name Micrococcus luteus. RNAcentral's name for it is "TPP sequence". It matches the Rfam family "TPP riboswitch aptamer (THI element)". Rfam says of the family: Vitamin B(1) in its active form thiamin pyrophosphate (TPP) is an essential coenzyme that is synthesised by coupling of pyrimidine and thiazole moieties in bacteria. The previously detected thiamin-regulatory element, thi box was extended, resulting in a new, highly conserved RNA secondary structure, the THI element, which is widely distributed in eubacteria and also occurs in some archaea. Analysis of operon structures identified a large number of new candidate thiamin-regulated genes, mostly transporters, in various prokaryotic organisms. The record is from RNAcentral. Lineage: Bacteria; Bacillati; Actinomycetota; Actinomycetes; Micrococcales; Micrococcaceae. RNAcentral also lists the same sequence under 4 other names.